GUGACAUUGUGCAAACCACUGGAAAUGAUUUUCGUGUUGUGUCUGAAAGGUCCUUUAAUUUAAUAUGAAAGUAUUUUCAUCAGUGGUCUAACAACUACAGUGCUUGCUGGAGAUCUACAUGCAUCCAUGUGUUUUCUAUUCUUUAGUUGUGGUAGUUUUUAGUGAGUGUUAAUGUCUUCUGUCAUCAACUUCAUGACAGAAUGAAUUGUGGGAAUGUGUUUCUGAGAACAGAUGUCAGGAUUGGACCACACUGUGUUGCAGUCCUCAGUGGGAGACAUCUGCUGGCCCAAGAUGGGAAAAUAGACUCAAUCUGCAAGCUUGGACAGGUGAUCUGUGUCGAGCUUUUAUCUUAGGAAGUGGCCAUCCUUGAACAAACCGUUGGAAUUGUGCCCAAAAAAGAGAUUUUCAUAAUGGACUCUGAGAACAGAGCUGCAUGUGAGAGUGAAUAUACUCCUGAAGCAGUCCAAAUAUGAAUAUGUGUUUGCACAAAUUAACUGCUGCUGUCAGGUGUCUUUUGAAGGUGAAUUUAUGUUUCUGGCCUCCACCAACUGUUACCAAAAUAGUACAGAGCCCUGGUUCAGACUAUGGAAAACAUUAGGAAAAACCAAAGCAAAUAUCAUAUUGCACGGACGAAGGGAAAAAUGUUUUCUACCUCAGGAAACUUAACUUUAUUAGUACCAAACUGCACAUAGCACCAUUCCCCCUGUAUGAAAUUAAAACCCUGUGCUGUCAUCUCUAAUCUUUGUCUAGUUAGUAACUAAACGUUCUCUGAAAAAUAGAAUUAUCUUGUCACAUAGGAAUGUUGUCAAAUAAAUGGUGUAAAUUGUCUCCAUUUUUAUUUCUGUUUUAUAACAGGAGAUCUCCUGUUUCAUGGAGUAGCUCUACCCUAAUCUGGUUAAGAUUUGCUGGAUGUGGAUUGAUACUCUCUUGUCUCAGAGGAAGAAAAAACAGGCCCCUAAACGUGGGCGCCGGGUCACAAUGAUCCUCUGUGCCCCUGACGUAUGGCAUCCUGGCACUGAUGUGCUCCUGGAAAAUUCUCAGGAUGACUAUCCACGCCAAAAGCUUUCAACCAAAAUCCCGGGAUGGCGUCCUCUGGGGCUCAUGCUUGAUGAUUCUGGGACUCGGUCUACAAAACGCUGAAAGAGAGAUGGCUGAAAGGUGAGUGUGUUUAGGGAGAUAGGAAAAGCAUGUGACAGAAAGAAAGAGGAAUGAUCGAAUAGUUAAAAAUUGGCGUGAUCCAACCAGGCAAGAAAUACUGUAUUUGGUCGCCAAACCAGAGUUUCACACAAUUUUGCCUCUGCUGAUGAUGAUUUAAGGGUUUCCACACACUUCUCAUUUGGAAAAGAAAUGGGAAUCUCGUCUCCCACAGAACCCUGACAACUGGUCUUUAAA
This 1392-nucleotide long non-coding RNA is filed under the name Sparus aurata (gilthead seabream). Its description in RNAcentral is "lncRNA (ENSSAUG00010022497.1)". The record is from RNAcentral. Lineage: Eukaryota; Metazoa; Chordata; Actinopteri; Spariformes; Sparidae.